RNAcentral lists this long non-coding RNA (1661 nucleotides) under Medicago truncatula (barrel medic). RNAcentral's name for it is "lncRNA gene32689". The record is from RNAcentral. Lineage: Eukaryota; Viridiplantae; Streptophyta; Magnoliopsida; Fabales; Fabaceae.
UUUACAAGUAAUGCAAGUAUGCGAAUAAGCUCUCACUUCAUUUCAAAACUAACCAAAGUUACAAGAAAAGGAGGAAUAACAUGAAUACAUAUGACUGUCAAGGGAGUCAAGAAGUGAUCUGUUAAUUAAAAUAUUAAUCAACCUAUUUUCUACAAAUCAAAAAAUAAAAGAACACUAAUGACCAUUCAUCUAGUGCAAAUGAAAACACCAGCUUUCAUCAUUCCUAAUGAAUGGUAAAAUAUAAAUAUAAAAGAAGAUAGAAAGAAGGGAAAAAAAACUACAUAAUAGAACUCCAUAUAUACCAACAUUAUAUCAAGUAUCAACACAUGAUAUAACAUCAUAUAUAGUACAUUAAUUCCACCAUUGCAGUUUUCUCUAAUCUUCCCCAAAAUAACCUAUUGAUUUAUCUACCCAACCCACCCCCAAUUUCCAAUACAGGCUUACAGUAUCAACAUAAUUACAUAUGGAUCCUGAUCUGAAACCUGUAUUUGAAACAAAAAAACUCAAAAUAAAAAAUAAAAAAACUAUCUUUUCCCAUCUCUGAUAUUCUCGCGCACCCUAUACGGAUUAUAAAAUCCGGAAAAAAUGGAGAGUUUUAAAGGGUGUUUUACACUUUUCGAAUUAUAUUAUCCGAAAUUUGAAGGAUGCGCGAAAAAUCAGUAAGAUGGAAAACGAAAACAUAGAAGAGAGCUUCUUUCAUUUCUUCACAGUUUCUCUGCGAUCUGAGCCAAUGACUGCAAAUUACACCGAACAAUGGUAUCAGCAAAACUACAUGUUUCUUCCUUAGUGUUACCCUGUGGUACAUCAACAACAUAUGAUUCAAUGACAACUGUUCCUCCGUUACCAUCACCGUGCAACGUUGUCACUGACCGGUAAUUCCUACACCUAUGAACACCACCAACAACACUGAAACUAAUAACAUGGCGUUCUUCAUCAAGAAUAUCCAACCUCUCGGUGCUUGAAACAGCAGGUAGACCGGAAACAAGUCGAACUUCACGAAGAGCACCAACACGAAUGCCGUCACCGGAGGCAACUACGUUGCAGCUUUUAACAAAGUGUUUGUAGCCUUGAGGAUAAUCAAAGCGGCGGACGACUGACCAGACGGUUGAAACGGAGGCGUUGAUUGUUUGGAUCACGACGGAGUAGCAUUGGUUUUGUCCCACCACGUGCAUGUGGUGGUCUACAACCGUUUCUGGAACAGAAACGGUUGGUUUUAAAGAAGAAAGCGCGUAACGACACGCUUGAAUUUGUUUCGGACAGUUAACACCGUUAGUAAUAGCAGUGUUAGAGUCGAACCGUUGGAAUUGAACUGGUGAAGGCAUUUCUAUUUUGCGAAUGCACGAGUAUUUUAUUAGUAAUGAAAAUAAAGAAGAAGAAGAUUAGUUAUGUGAAGUUAAAAUGUUAGAUUAGAUAUAUAUGUGGAGGGUGAGAGAGGGUUUGAGAGGCUAUUAUUUUUGUAACACAAGUUGGUGGUAUUUAAGACUAAAUAAGAGUUCUCUUUCUUUUUCUCUUCUUUUGUUGUUCAAAGAGACAAAGAAAAUAAAAGUGAAUCAUAGUUGCUAUUGAAUUAAUUGAAGCAAUGACAUUACGCGGUGGUUACAUGCAAGUGGAUCAACUUGUUGUUUGUAAGAAUGCAAGUUGCAUAACAUCUUUAGACUUGG